GGGGAUGUAGCUCAGUUGGCUAGAGCGCUUGACUGGCAGUCAAUAGGUCAUGAGUUCGAAUCUCAUCUUCUCCA
This 74-nucleotide transfer RNA is filed under the name Flammeovirgaceae bacterium. RNAcentral describes it as "tRNA-Ala". It matches the Rfam family "tRNA". From Rfam's summary of the family: Transfer RNA (tRNA) molecules are approximately 80 nucleotides in length. Lineage: Bacteria; Pseudomonadati; Bacteroidota; Cytophagia; Cytophagales; Flammeovirgaceae. The record is from RNAcentral.